Trachymyrmex septentrionalis is the source of this 611-nucleotide long non-coding RNA. RefSeq lists it as uncharacterized. The record is from RefSeq and is a predicted model, not a curated record. The transcript is spliced from 4 exons. Lineage: Eukaryota; Metazoa; Arthropoda; Insecta; Hymenoptera; Formicidae.
UGGCGUUGUCGCGCAAGAGUUUUGUAUAUAGUGAAAAAAGCUGCGUAACGACACUGUAAUGUGCUACAGUUAUAAUCGUUCAGAGACUAACAAUAAGAAGACGAUUGGAUGUGAAAGUAGCUGUUCCUUAUUCUUACGUAUGUCUUCAAUCUAACGAUCUCUAACAAGACUUAAAAAGGGCUCCGCGGGAGGGCGAACGAAAUCAUAGGGUUAAGGAAGAACUCCCUUAAUGGGCACUCCGGGUUCGCGCGCGGGAAGCAGACGGGCCCUCUUCCGGAGAAAGGGCAGAUGCCAGCUGCUUCUAAUUGAGACAUCAGUGUCGAUAUAAACCGGCCGCCCAGGCGCGACGUGAAUCGACGCGUGAAACGCAAAGGCGUGCCCUGCCCCUUCCCCUCUCUAUGGUAUGGAUAUACACACGCACAGUCUCGAGGACAGGUAACGAACCAAGUACUGGUCCUGUAAGUAAAUCAGUGUAACAAGCCGUCCUAUCUAUCGUUCAAGUGGAAGCUGCGCGAGCAGCGGGGAGGCAGCUUUGAGCCAGAAGGCAGAACCCGGAACUUCUUCGUUCACGCUCGAACUGGUUCCUUCGAUUUGGCUUAAGGGCCCGAUCC